CUGUCUUCCAAAAUGUCUGCUAUUCCUGCCAGCUCGUCAUCCACAGAUUUAUUAAAGCAAGUGCUCAAUUCUGUCCUUCAAGUCAUUAAAGAUAUAUACUAAGACAGACCCAAAGCAAGCAUUCCCUGGGGAAACAAUGUAAGAAGGCAGAAUAGUUUUGUAAGAAGAAUGAAGAGUGAAAUCCUUUCUACUGAAAAGCGCUUCCACCUCCCAUUCGGACCAGUCAGUACACACAAAAUCUGCUUCUGUCAUAUCAUCUGAUUCAGUCUCCACCUCCACAGACAACUUUUCUCCAGAUCUCAAGGCUAAGAGCAUGGCGAUAUUUGUAGAAAGAAAGAAGAAUGACAGAAGGAGUGAUGGGGAAAAAGAAUCUGGACAGUUUUUCUUCAAUUGAAAGAAUCCUUUUGAUCAAUUGAUUUCCUCCACACUCCCUCUUCCCCUCCCCCCCCCACCUAAAGAUGUAGUAAAAACCUCUUGAUACCUUGGAGAAUAUCUUCUAGCAUUUGAAGAUCAAGCAGUAAAUUAGUAAAAUGGUGCAAUUCUCUGAUUCAGUCCCUCUAGAGUGUCCACUGUCUUCAUUACCCAUUAAUAGAAUUGAAUGCUGAAGGUGAGCUGUGCCUUGUAAGAUCAGGGUUCCUAGUGGUAUGGCUGUAAUGAAGUCGGCAUCAUAAAACGAGGAAAUGAUCAGUAAUCAUCAAAACAGCCAGUUUUGUUUCAAUUAAUACCACAUUCAGUUCACUAUGUUGGGAUGGCCCUAGAGAGCACAUUUUCCUAAUAUUUCCUUGUCAAAACAUCUAUUCUUAUGAAAGGAAUUCUGCAUCUGUAUCUAAGUCUUAGAAUGUAAAAUUUUAUUUAUGUGUUGGUAUCUUUUCAUCUCCUGGAUCUUGCUAACUGACCUUUUGUUUUCUAGCUGUUCUUCUUAGAAAUACUUACCAGAACUGGUGUGGUUUCAUCGUAUGUCAGUACCCUCAACAGCUGUGCUGGCAUGUAUUUCCUCACAAGAUUCAUAAAUCACUACUUGUUUGGUUCUUAGUCUUUUACCACUAAAAGAAAAUAGAGCUUCCUCCUGGCUCAGUCCAUUAAAAAAGUGCAGUAUGGCAAAGGGGUUAAAUUUGCUUUCUGAAUAGGUUUGGAACCAAUAAGCCUGAGCAUACUUUAAAAGAACUCAGCUUCAUUCUCAAUUUUAUUUUUUGUUUUUGUUUUGUGUAAAUUAGCACCUUCUACAAUGGCUAGAAUUAUAUACACUUUUUGGCUCUUCAAAAAGUAGAUUUUAAAGGUAACUUCUGUGCCUUACUACUUUACACUUGUUCAGCUAUACUUCCGUUUGGUUCAUUUUCUUCUAAAUAAUCCCAAUUCCUCCAGAUAAUCAUGGAACU
This is a long non-coding RNA of Crocodylus porosus (Australian saltwater crocodile), 1376 nucleotides long. Lineage: Eukaryota; Metazoa; Chordata; Crocodylia; Crocodylidae. The record is from Ensembl.